Molecule: long non-coding RNA, 249 nt
Filed under: Setaria italica (foxtail millet)
Lineage: Eukaryota; Viridiplantae; Streptophyta; Magnoliopsida; Poales; Poaceae
Description: long non-coding RNA (SITA_LNC000298)
Source: RNAcentral
CAACUCACAGUCACAGCAACAGACAUCUGAUAUCCGCUUACAAAUAUGAAACAGGGUAUUGAUUCAGCAUUCAUAAAAAUAGGAAAAAGGUUACUAAUUUUCUAUGGAAAUUUCAAAUACGCAUGACUGUGGCUGAGAAUAACGUGAAUUACGAGCUAAAGUCUCUUACCAAUACAUGUGACUGUCAGGGCAGAAUCCUCAAGUUGACAAAAAAAGAAAACAUAGCACCAACUACAGGGGUUCAUUUUG